AUCCUCCCGUGCUGAUCGCAGAUGCAAACUGGAAAGUGGCCUUUGAUUUACCUGUAAAUCUCCUGAAAAGACCAUCUGCAGAAAACAUUCAAGCAAGCGAUCUUUCAGUGAACAUUACAGACCAAUGGGAACAACUCGAAAAACAGCUCAUUGCUGCCGGGUUCUGUGAUGGUACA
This is a long non-coding RNA of Astyanax mexicanus (Mexican tetra), 176 nucleotides long. RefSeq lists it as uncharacterized. NCBI's taxonomy places the organism in Eukaryota, Metazoa, Chordata, Actinopteri, Characiformes, Acestrorhamphidae. The record is from RefSeq and is a predicted model, not a curated record. The transcript has 2 exons.